AACGAACGCUGGCGGCAUGCUUAACACAUGCCAGUCGAACGGGAAGGCCCUGCUUUUGUGGGGUGCUCUAGGGGAGACCGGGUGAGUAACCCGUGGGUACCCUGCCCCUGACUUUGGGAUAAGUUAAUGAAACUGGGUCUAAUCCCGCCUAGGAGCUCCUGCUGCAUGGUGGGGGCUGGUUAGAUUAGGCGGUUGGGGGUGUAAUCGCGGCUGAUCAGCAUGUUGGUGGGGUAGUGGCUUACGAAGGCUUUGACGGGUAGCCGGCCUGAGAGGGUGACCGGCAACAGUGGGACUGGGAUACGGACCAGACUCCUACGGGAGGCAGCAGUGGGGGAGAUUGCACAAUGGGCGGAAGCCUGAUGCAGCAACGCCGCGGGCGGGAGGACGGCCUUCGGGUUGGAAACGGCAUGCGCCUGUGACGAAGAGGAAGUGACGGUAAUGGGGAAAGAAGCACCGGCUAACUACGGU
RNAcentral lists this ribosomal RNA (468 nucleotides) under uncultured bacterium. RNAcentral's name for it is "partial 16S ribosomal RNA". It matches the Rfam family "Bacterial small subunit ribosomal RNA", at positions 28 to 507 of the family's 1533-position model. The record is from RNAcentral.